Lepus europaeus (European hare) is the source of this 388-nucleotide long non-coding RNA. RefSeq lists it as uncharacterized. The transcript is spliced from 2 exons. The record is from RefSeq and is a predicted model, not a curated record. NCBI's taxonomy places the organism in Eukaryota, Metazoa, Chordata, Mammalia, Lagomorpha, Leporidae.
UCCAGCGCGUCCCAAGAUGGCGGGCGAGCGGGGCUCGGCUCCUGAGGCGCCUGGGGCCGCCCCGCAAAGCCGGGGUUUGGGGGAGCGCUGGCCGCCGCGGUCCCCUCGUGACCCCGUGGGUGUGUGUGGUUUUCAGAGCGGCCCUGUGCUUGGUGGACUUGCAGGAGGACUUAGGCGACUCUCUCUGCUAUGGCCUGGGAAAGCAGUGGAAGAUGGUACCUACGUGGGAGACCUGGAAGAAGCUCCUGGCUCCUGGCUUCGGAUCAGCUCAGCUCCGGCCAUUGCCGCCAUCUGGGGAGUGAACCAGCGGAUGGAAAACCUCUCUCUCUCUGUCUCUACCUCUCUGUAACUCUGACUUUCAAAUAAAUAAAUAAAUCUUAAAAAAAUA